UAUGGUUGAUUUUAUUCGUCACCCUAAUUCUGUUUUCCCAAUUUUUACAGCAUCCUUUCCUCGGGAUACUUCUUUUCCUCUCCAUCCUCCUGUUUGUUGAUAUUGCAUAUGAGCUAAUACGUGAAAAUAGAAUCAAAGAUAAAGGUUUCAGCAUAAAUAUAUCUUCCUCAGAGGUUAUUCUCUUUUCUCCUGUUUUUGCAGGUGAGGGUUUAUCUCAAAUAAAAACCGAGAACCUAUGGCGUAUGGUGAUUAAUUAGUUUUUUAUUUUGGGUCUAAGGAAAUCUUAUAAGCCAUUGAUAAAAUAUUAAAAGUGAAAGCCAUUUGACCCAUUGAUAAAAUCUUAUAAGUCAAUAACUCAAGAAGACAUUGUUUUGGGUUGUCUUCUUUAAUACGUUUUUACUCUACAGGAUUUGAUUAUCAAUCAUCAAGUGAUAGGACUAGAAUAUAGAACAAAGAAGAACAAGAAGUGAAUAUAAAGCCGACAACAUAUUGAAUCAGGACCACCGUCUGUAACCAAUCUUUCCACAGAAUAAAAUUUAAUAAGGCAUAUUGGCUAUUGCAUACCGAUCUAUCAUCUUCGUCCAGCCAUCGCUUCUUUGGCAUCCAGUCUGUAUGCCCUAAAAUGUUGUAUGUGGAUGUUUUGGUUGUUAAAAUGGGUUUGUAGUCAACUUACUCUGGGUAGGCAUUUGUUUGAUGAUCUCAAAAUGUAAAUUUGGGCUAUACCAAGAUAUACUUUACGAUUAAGGGAUCAAGUACAUCAUUAACGUUUACUUUAAGAAAGUUUCAGAUGAUAUUACUUUUGGCCAUGUCUCUUGCAGUAUUUCAUACCAUGGCAACAUGGGACUUUAGAUUUUGUAAUUGUUUCAAUUUACUGUUUUGAAUUGUACAAACCAUAGCUACGAGGAGUAUGGGCU
Long non-coding RNA from Papaver somniferum (opium poppy), 914 nucleotides. RefSeq lists it as uncharacterized. The record is from RefSeq and is a predicted model, not a curated record. NCBI's taxonomy places the organism in Eukaryota, Viridiplantae, Streptophyta, Magnoliopsida, Ranunculales, Papaveraceae. The transcript has 3 exons.